UGUCUCUGCCUCCAUUUUUUUGGAGAGUUUCAUCACUUAAUUGUCAACAGUUCCUGUCCUGCAUUUUUGGCUCACAUGGGGAGGAGGAGACCCAAAAGCCAGCGAGCUCUCGGUAGGUAGAAACCGCGUGGAAAAGUACAUCAAAAUAAUAGGGAAUAGCUGCUGAUACAAAAGAAAUCUCCAGACUGGCGAUGCUGCGGGCUCCUGAAGCUGUCCCCAGAGUCCUGUUUCUACAACACGGAUUCCCAUCUACUCUAAAUUGAUGAAGAGUAAAUACCGAGACCAUUUCACUGCACCAGCGGGGUCAGAGUGCAGGAUUUGAACAGCCUCAAGGUUCCAACGCGUGGCUCCUCUCUGCAGUGACAUCUUUACCACCCGUAAAGAGGGGAGCAUCAAAGAGUGCCUAAACGCGGGGCCGGGCUGAUGGUUGGGGUGGGUGCUCCUCUGCUUUGCUUUUUGCAGUUGAUGCUGAGAAUAAGUGUGUUUGUACCUUCGGUAUGGUCCUUGUUCACUGCUGGCUCUCCUGGAGCAGCACACAUCAGGGAGUGCUCUGAUCUAACUAGUGCAGAUCUCAGAAGGGAAUUGCAAACUGUCUUUCUAUGGCUUUAAUUCUCACAAUAGUUAAACACAGACUGAAAUCUCUGUUAGAGAGGGAUUUUUUCUUUCCUAUUCUUGCCCACUUCUACCAACAGAAACAGCCUCACACAGUACCCAGUUAUCCCUUGCAUACCCAACCCAUCACAUUCUAGGUACUAUAUGAAACAUUAACUAUUAUACCAAAGCUAAAACACACUAAAGUUCAACUUUGCAGGCCCUGCCAGUCAUCUCUUUGCAAAGAUCCGUAUUUUAAUGAACCAUAAUGUGCAUAAAGGCAGGAGAAGCCAGAGUUCUAAGGAUUUAAGGCAGUGACCUUCUCAUUGUGCAUCUGCAGAACCCUGAAAAAACCACGUAAUUUUUCUCCAGCAUCUCCCUAUUUGCAGAUGAUUGAACUUUAUGAUCAUAUAGAAGUGUUGGAUAGGCUAUAUAUUGAAGUGUGGAUUCCAGAUGUCUGUUCUAGCAAGUGCAUUAUGAAUCCACAAUCCUGAAGAGAUUUACACAUAUGUUCACCUUUCUGCCAAGACUACUCCAUCUCAAAAUCAAAUGCAUGUGUACAUCUGCAAGUUUGAGGCUGCAGGACUUGUACAAGAUGAAUGGAUGUUACUAGAGAAUCAUCAGAUAAGAAGCACAUCAUCCAUUCCACAAAAGUCCACCAAAAAAAGCCAGAACAUAAAAGAAAAUCAACUAAUUUUUCUAAAUUCUUUUUUUUUUUGGGACAUGAACAAUCUGAGACUCUUUGUGUAUCAAAGAAACCAGGGGCUGUGUUCACCACAUACACCUGAAACACCAGAUACUCAAACAGGAAAGUAAAUAUGUGGUUUUAGAAAUACCACAUACUAAAUCUAGGUAUCUCUGAAAAUAGAAAACAUUUUAACCUUGUUUCAAGACAGAAAUGAUUCCUAUUAAACUACAGUUCAUUUUACCAUUGAAGUAAUACUGUAUAUAAUCGGUAUAUUAAUAACAAAGUCUCAAACUUAAAAGAAGUGGGGAAGAGGAGGCAGAUGUGGGUGAUGAGAAUAUCCACAGCUGUGUUACAUAGGAUAAAGCUAUUUAGAAGCAAUAUUAAACCUAAGUGCUCCAGCAUACAGGUGAAGUACUGGCAGAUGAGGGUUAUGGCUCAUUUCCCCUCCAAGCAGAUCAUGCAAAGCUUUGCAGCAGUCCCUGGAGCUGGGCCCUGUGAGGCAGGGCUUGGUAUGGGACAGUAUGGAGCUGCUGAAAGCCUGGCUUUGUUCAGUGUAAAAAAUGGGGGGAAAACCAUUUCAGGUAUCCAGAGUGUGACAAGGGAGCAGUGGUCACUGAGGAAGGGUCUGGCCUGAACUACACUGAAAGAAAAUCCACUGGCACUUAUUUUCUGGAUGUUAAUGUAGCUUAAAUUAUUGAAGAUCUAAUCAUGCCAGUGUGCUGGAUCCUGACCUUGCUAGCCUGAAAAGAGGAGCUCUCAUUUAAUUAAACUUGUACCGCAGGACUCUGCUAAAGUAAGAACUCCAGAGCUGUGCUUGGGAGGGCUGUGAAGAAAAGGGUUUAUUUCACCCUUAUUGAGCUUUCAAACAUAGUUAUUUCCUAUUGGAUAGAAUGAAGUAAUCUUAAAACAUUUUUUAAGGUGUCUUUGAUCCUGUAAGAUCUACCAUUCUAUCCAUUACUUUGGGUUAAGAUGGAAGCCUAGAUCUUUAACCGUUGUUCUAUGAAGGAAGUUAAAAAUACCAUUUUUCUAGUCAUGACACAUCAAAAUCCUUCCUCUGCAGAAACUCCCUCAACUAAACUUUAAGCUUUGCUUUCAGUGAGAUCUGGAGAGAUGUUUGCCUUGACCUCCUCACUGCUGACAAACCUUUAUUUGCCUCUUGCAACUUCUGAUGUGUUGUUUUUCAUGCAGAUCUACCAUAAUUUCCGUUCUGUGGUAAACUGAUUUGGUUUUGGUACAAUAACAGGAACAAAUGGAAGUGAUGAUUUGCAUGUGAAAUGGAAAUAUGCUUUGGAACUCUUUGCAGAGGGCAGAACCUUUGCAUGCUCAGUGCCACAUCCAUUAAUCAUACAGUACUCCGCGAACCCAUUCUUCUUAUUCAGUCCUCCUACAGAACAUACAGAAGUACAUUUUUAGCAGAAAAAAAGAACUCUGAGUAUCCUUGUGCCUGUGUACACACUUCUCGGGGCUUUCUGGAAAGAAACUUGGACUUCUGCCACCUGCUCUGAUUGUGUUCAUGCCUAAAUGAUCCAAGAAUGGGUUGACAUUACCUCUAAUUAGGGGUAAUAGCAGCCUGCUGCUGCUAGAGCCAGUUGCUUUCCUCUUGCUAUGUCCCUCAUUUCUCCUGCAUUAGGUGCAGUGUUCAUGCAGCCACGGGAUAAGUCAGUUCAAUGACCUGAUCCGGUAGAAAACUCGCCCAUUAAGAAGAAAAAAAAAAAAACAAACCCGCUUAUAUUUUUCAUUAGGUCAAUUCACUGAAGCUCUGUAGCCAUCUGAUCGGUGUCAUCUACAGGAUGAAGAGUGUGGUUGAGAUGAAGGAAGAGCGCAGGACUACACCCUUUUGGUGGCCUUCCGCAAUUGCACUGAUCAGAGGGAACAACAAAGCCCAGUCCUGAACUCCAGCCUGAUUUCAGAACUCCCUGAAGCAUUUCUAGGAGUUAAUUAAGCAUGACAGAGUCUUUUUGUUUCAGCUAACUCUAGAGUAGCAGUGCAGAGGUGUGUAAUAAUGAGUAAUUAGAGCUGGCAAGAAAACAAUUUAUCCUGUUUAGUUUGUACCUCAAAAUGGAGCUGUAAAAUGUUCUGAACAUCAAGGGGAAGAAGGGUAGCUUCUACAGCCCUAAUGGUUUAGCUGCAGAAGCCUUGAGCCUCAGCUUAUGUUCUCCUAUUUAACAAACCGAGUUUUUAUUUCUGAUAGGAAAGGAAAUGAUAUUUAUUUCAAAGCUACAAAGAUGGAAGCUGAAAGUUACACAUGGGUUGGGUUUGGAAAAGGGGGAUGGGAUGGUUUCUUUACUGAUUUUGGUAGGUCCUUUUCUGUACUGUUUCUCUGAAUGAAACAUGAACUCAACAGUUCAUCAGUGUGCAAUACUGUUGUAUCUUUCAAAGUCCUUCCUGAUAAACAGGGUCAGGACUGACGGACAGAAGAAUAGAGAGAGUGAGUUCCAAGAGUCUGUUUUAAUACAGUUCUUUAGAAAGACACUUCAGGUCCUUCUCAGAUUUAUCUCUUGCAGGUUUGUGUUUUUCUAGAGAAAUCUGAUUUUAGGGAACAGGUCAAGACGUAGGUAUUAUUUAUGCAGUAGCACUGACCCAUGAUAUUAAGAGUUCAGCAGUAAUUUUGUGCAGAAAUGAGAUGAAAUAGUGAACAAUCAGUUUUGGUUAUGUACAUAAGUAUUUUUCAUAGCUUAUGAGCAGCAAUGCAAAAUAUUUUUAAAUGUAUGAAUCCACAGAAACUAAACGACAGAGACCGAGUUUGCUUGAGAUACAGAGGAAACUACAUCACUGGGUUUCGAUGGUUAUCUCAUCUCCCAAGGAAAAUGCAGUACACAAAGGGGCUGUUAGUCACUGCUUUGCAAUGCGGUGCUCAGACUUAGCCUAAGGCAUCAGUGGGAGUCACACAAGAAGCCGACUGUGGUGAUGAGAUCUGUUUUGGGGUUGUUUUUUCAUUUAGAAUAAAAGCACACUGAACAAAGAGGAUUUAUAAUCACAGAAUCAUUUCGGUUGGAAAACACCUUUAAGCUCAUCAAGCCCAGAUGCAAACCUAACCCUGCCAAGUCCACCAUUAAAUGCUUACUCUGGACUUUCACAUAAAUGGACACUAUGCUGUCACACAUAAAAGAGAAAGAAGGUGCGAAACACUUCGUAGAGGAUCUGGCACACCAGCUUUUAAGGAGAGGCUGCAGGUCAAGCUCAUUUGUAGAAGAAUGAGUUUGACUCAUUCAUUGAGGUGUUUUAAUGCCCCCGUAGAUAAAAAUCUAACCAGGAGCUGUUUUGUAAGAAGACAACUCCAUUUAUUUCCUGAGAAGAGAAUGAGAAAUUAAAUCUAUGUGGUAAAAAACAGUAGUUUCAGGGAAUGCCUCUGAAGAGCUCCAAGUAAGAUUUUCUUCUUGGCGGCUUCAACUACAUCCCUUUUACAAGAAUGCCAUGUAAAUGAAGAGCAUUGAAACCUGUGUGGCUGUAGAUUGUCAUCACGUUUGCUGUGCAUACGUAAAUGAAUGGCCUUGCAAAUCAGAGAAGGGUGUGAAGAGAGGAACAAAGCAAAACCGUUAAAGAGAAUGUGCUGAAUUUUCCCUACUUGUAAAGCGAAAAAAGUCAACGCCAUAGAAAAUCACCCGUGCUUUUGAUUUGUAAUGGAAGCAGCACUGUGGUAUGUGACCAUCCAAAUACCUGUAAAUAGUACAAGCCUCCUUGUCAGGUGUUAUUUAUAUUGUUAAAAUUGUAUAUUUCUUACUAGAAAUGGACUGCAACAGGUUGGUUCCUUACACAUCCUUUAGCUCUCCAGACCCGGCAGUGUGCCUUGGCACCAGCACUGUGUUGUCUCACCUUUUCAGAAAUCAUCUUCAGAGCUGUGCCAUGUAUUUGCUAUGGAGUUCUGCUCUAUGCCUAAUUUUUCCACUCUGUAAAACACAAAGAAAAAAUAAAGUAUGUUUUAAAAGGCUUGCAUGAACGUGGCAAUAAAAUAAUCUUUCAACAA
This is a long non-coding RNA of Pezoporus occidentalis (night parrot), 5243 nucleotides long. RefSeq lists it as uncharacterized. Lineage: Eukaryota; Metazoa; Chordata; Aves; Psittaciformes; Psittacidae. The transcript has 2 exons. The record is from RefSeq and is a predicted model, not a curated record.